Molecule: ribosomal RNA, 1043 nt
Filed under: Staphylococcus haemolyticus
Lineage: Bacteria; Bacillati; Bacillota; Bacilli; Caryophanales; Staphylococcaceae
Description: bacterial SSU rRNA
Rfam family: Bacterial small subunit ribosomal RNA
Source: RNAcentral
CGGCGCGGCUUCUAAUGCAGUCGAGCGACAGACGAGGAGCUUGCUCCUUUGACGUUAGCGGCGGACGGGUGAGUAACACGUGGGUAACCUACCUAUAAGACUGGGAUAACUUCGGGAAACCGGAGCUAAUACCGGAUAAUAUUUCGAACCGCAUGGAUCGAUAGAGAAAGAUGGUUUUGCUAUCACUUAUAGAUGGACCCGCGCCGUAUUAGCUAGUUGGUAAGGUAACGGCUUACCAAGGCGACGAUGCGUAGCCGACCUGAGAGGGUGAUCGGCCACACUGGAACUGAUACACGGUCCAGACUCCUACGGGAGGCAGCAGUAGGGAAUCUUCCGCAAUGGGCGAAAGCCUGACGGAGCAACGCCGCGUGAGUGAUGAAGGUCUUCGGAUCGUAAAACUCUGUUAUUAGGGAAGAACAUACGUGUAAGUAACUAUGCACGUCUUGACGGUACCUAAUCAGAAAGCCACGGCUAACUACGUGCCAGCAGCCGCGGUAAUACGUAGGUGGCAAGCGUUAUCCGGAAUUAUUGGGCGUAAAGCGCGCGUAGGCGGUUUUUUAAGUCUGAUGUGAAGCCCACGGCUCAUCCGUGGAGGGUCAUUGGAAACUGGAAAACUUGAGUGCAGAAGAGGAAAGUGGAAUUCCAUGUGUAGCGGUGAAAUGCGCAGAGAUAUGGAGGAACACCAGUGGCGAAGGCGACUUUCUGGUCUGUAACUGACGCUGAUGUGCGAAAGCGUGGGGAUCAAACAGGAUUAGAUACCCUGGUAGUCCACGCCGUAAACGAUGAGUGCUAAGUGUUGGGGGGUUUCCGCCCCUUAAUGCUGCAUCUAACGCAUUAAUCACUCCGCCUGGGGAGUACGACCGCAAGGUUGAAACUCAAAGGAAUUGACGGGGACCCGCACAAGCGGUGGAACAUGUGUUUUAAUUCUAAGCAACGCGAAAAACCUUACCAAAUCUUGACAUCCUUUGACAACUCUAGAGAUAGAGCCUUCCCCUUCAGAGGACAAAGUGACAGGUGGUGCAUGGUUGUCCUCAUCUCGUGUC